UACGGAGGGAGCUAGCGUUGUUCGGAAUUACUGGGCGUAAAGCGCGCGUAGGCGGCUCAUCAAGUCAGGGGUGAAAGCCCGGGGCUCAACCCUGGAACUGCCUUUGAAAUUAGUGAGCUAGAAUCUUGGAGAGGCGAGUGGAAUUCCGAGUGUAGAGGUGAAAUUCGUAGAUAUUCGGAAGAACACCAGUGGCGAAGGCGACUCGCUGGACAAGUAUUGACGCUGAGGUGCGAAAGCGUGGGGAGCAAACAGG
RNAcentral lists this ribosomal RNA (253 nucleotides) under uncultured bacterium. Its description in RNAcentral is "partial 16S ribosomal RNA". It matches the Rfam family "Bacterial small subunit ribosomal RNA", at positions 524 to 776 of the family's 1533-position model. The record is from RNAcentral.